UCGCAGGCGCGCUUUGGCAGCCCGGGUCAGAGACAGCUGCUGCCUAGAUUGCAGACGCGCUCCAGCAACCCAGAUCGGAGAUGGCUGCUGCCCAGACUGCAAACGCGCUCCGGCAGUUCAGAUGGCAAGCGCACACCGGAAGCCCGGGUCAGAGUUAGCUGCUUGGAUCCCGAUCACGCUCGGGCAGCCCAGAUCAGAGACAGCUGCUGCCCAAACCGCAAACACGCUCGGGGCAGUUCAGAUCGCAGGCGCGCGCCGGAAGCCCGGGUCAGAGUUAGCUGCUCGGGUCGCGAUCCUGCUCGGGCAGCCCAGAUCAGAGACAGCUGCUGCCCAAACCGCAAACACGCUGGGGGCAGUUCAGAUCGUAGGCGCGCACCGGAAGCCCGGAUCAGAGUUAGCUGCUUGGAUCGCGAUUGCGCUCGGGCAGCCCAGAUCAGAGACAGCUGCUGCCCAAACCGCAAACGCGCUCGGGGCAGUUCAGAUCGCAGGUGCGCACCGGAAGCCUGGGUCAGAGUUAGCUGCUCGGGUCGCGAUCGUGCUCGGGCAGCCCAGAUCAGAGACAGCUGCUGUCCAAACCGCAAACGCUCUGGGGGCAGUUCAGAUCGCAGGCGCGCACCGGAAGCCCGGGUCAGAGUUAGCUGCUCGGGUCGCGAUCGUGCUCGGGCAGCCCAGAUCAGAGACAGCUGCUGCCCAAACCGCAAACGCGCUCGGGGCAGUUCAGAUCGCAAUUUAGAUCAGACGAGAGCCAGGGGACGUCUCCCACCGGUCUCCGCUGGCCGUCCUAUAGCGCGUCCGCCAGGACUGUGCCAGCUCCAGUUUCAGACCUUGCGAGUCACAGAUUCAGAUUCAGAACAGACACAGACAGACAAACGGAGACGAGCCAGCUCACCUAUCAGUAGAUCGAUCCUAGCAGAUCCGUUGACCAGGGGUCUGGUGGGCUUGGGGAAUCCCGGACGAGCCCCCAGAUGUUAUACCCUGACCGUUUGUUCCCCAAAGAAGACCACCAGAGUCCAGAGUCAAAGCCAAGCGGCAAGGAUCUUUACUACAAGUUCGAACCUGGUCCCUCCAUUCCACAACAUACAAGAGGGCCCCGAACAAUGCGAGCGCUUGCUUUUUCAUAGCCCGAAAGUUACAGGGGAACAAAGGAAUUCUUUUGGUUCCCGCGCUUUCAAUAAAACUUUGAGCGGCACAAUGCCGCUAUCCGGAGACUUUCCAGGUAAUGUUUGUACUGGGCUCUGGAAGUUUGAAGGUGAUAUGGUGGGGAUGGGAGAGAUGGGAUGUGUUGUACUGGGCUCAAAGUUUGAGAAGAUAUAUGGCGAUAUGUGGUGGGAUGGGAGGAUGGGAUGUGUUUGUACUGGGCUCAGGAAGUUUGAGAGAUAUAUGGCGAUAUGUGGUGGGAUGGGAGGAUGGGAUGUGUUUGUACUGGGCUCAGGAAGUUUGAGAGAUAUAUGGCGAUAUGUGGUGGGAUGGGAGGAUGGGAUGUGUUUGUACUGGGCUUGUCUGUUUUGA
Molecule: long non-coding RNA, 1509 nt
Filed under: Papio anubis (olive baboon)
Lineage: Eukaryota; Metazoa; Chordata; Mammalia; Primates; Cercopithecidae
Description: lncRNA (ENSPANG00000050133.1)
Source: RNAcentral